Folsomia candida is the source of this 688-nucleotide long non-coding RNA. RefSeq lists it as uncharacterized. The record is from RefSeq and is a predicted model, not a curated record. The transcript is spliced from 3 exons. NCBI's taxonomy places the organism in Eukaryota, Metazoa, Arthropoda, Collembola, Entomobryomorpha, Isotomidae.
UGCAAACUAUCAAUCUACGGGUGGAACUGAUAUUAUUGUCUACACGAUUAGCGAAACCAGAACCAGUUGGCAGAAUGCGUUAAUUAGUUGCACAGAUAAAGGCGGUUUCUUGGCGAGUCCAUCAACUCCGGAGUUGGAUGAAAGUUUAAGGACUUACUUGGCCAGUCAAAAUUUUGCAGUUAACGAUAAAAUCUGGCUGGGCGGACGUGUCAUAUUUUUCGAGGGUGGGGUGAACUGGCAAUGGGUCCCACGAAGACCGGUGAUCCCGUACAUGAAUUUCCUGGGAGAUCUGUGCCAGAAUCCGAUCCCCGGUUCUGGGCUCUACUGGACAACGACAGAGAGUGGGGCCUGGGGCUGGUGCACCAUUUCAGAAACCGAGCAGCUAAAGUACGUCUGCGAGUUUGAUAACACAUUAACUUCAACGACUCCUCGGAUAACCACACCCACGGGUCCAAUUCCAACUGGGGAGAUAACAUCAGGUCCUGCGACAUCUACGGAAAGCACGACACCUUCAAAUGCGGGAAAUCUAUUGAACAGGAUUUACUUUAAAAUGAUAAUCUUAUCUCCUAUACUUCUUACUAUAUUUUUUGAAUGAGGUUAUAAUUUGUUACAUCAGAUAAUGGCAUGUAAAAUCUACAUACGUCAUUAACUGUAUGACCCUUGAUGGUAGGAAUGUAUUUAAUUUAAA